Long non-coding RNA from Gallus gallus (chicken), 1849 nucleotides. The record is from Ensembl. NCBI's taxonomy places the organism in Eukaryota, Metazoa, Chordata, Aves, Galliformes, Phasianidae.
AGCUCGGGAGAAUUUGAGAUAGAAGCUAAAUAUGGUACAUUUGGACACUAUUUUCCUAAGCCUAGAAUGACUGGAAGACUUUAACAAGCAAAUACACUGUGGGUAUGUGGGUACAGUCUUGACUAAUACAGGAAUCUGUUUGAUCAUCCAUACCAUAACUAUAAUAUGCAUCUGUAAAAUACAUACUUCAGCUAGUGUUGUAAACUUAAUGAGUACUUCUAAAACAUUCUGCAACCCUAAGAAGGAGCGCCUGAUGCCAGAAAGAAAUGAAGGGGAGGAUCUUGUUCCUAAAAGGCACACGAAAAGUCAAUGAACAGACCUUGGGCAAAGAGAAGGGUUCUGCAUAACGUCAUAAACAACUCAGAUGCCCAAAGGAAAGAAGGAACUAGCUGGACAUUUGCUAGUCUCAUAGAGACUACCCAAAAGGUGGAAUACUUGAUGCCUUAAAUCAGGAGCAUCUGUGGCAGUAUAUUUCCAAGACUCAUACUUGUUCACAUGUCCAGUUGUGAACUCAGAUAUUCUUUUCAACCCAGGGUCCUUCUUCCUUCCUACUGCAAAAGAAUCAAAUUGAUUUGCCUUAAAAGAAGGUAUGAGGGAAAAUUUUCUGGUACUUCUCAAGGAAAAGUAUGUGUCUGAGUUUCUCUCCUUUGGACAAAAGAAUUGUUGACACACCACAAAAUGAAGAUCUUCUCAAUCAGUUCAUCCUCAUAAAUAAGCAGAUUAUGAGCAGUAAACUGUGUAUGGAGCUGAAUAUCAACUUCAUUGCAUUGGAAUGAAUGGUGGCAACAUUGGAAUAUCAUAUAGUGGGUCCCACGAAUGCUCACACAGGAACAGAAAGAACGCCAUAUACAAGUUUGUCAGGACCUAUUGAAUCAAUGAGGCUGAAGGUGACAGUUUCCUGGAUCGCAGCAUUACCAGUGAUGGGACAUGUUAUUGCAAGCCAAAAUCAAGAUGGCAGUCCAUGGGAUGGCAACGCAUGAAUUCUGCAUCAAAUAAAAAAUUCAGGAUGGACACCUUGGUGGGUAAAGUGACUUGCAUUGUCUUUUGAGAUAAGAAAAGUUUGGUCCUUCUGGAUUUCCUGGAGCCUAGACAAGACAUCAACUUGGACCACUACAGCUCCUACUAAGCUGAAGGCUCAAACUUCCAGAGUCAGGCUAAAAAAGACAAUCUUUCUCUUGCAAUCAAUAGUGCUAGGUCCUAUACCAGUUUGUGGGCCAUGAAGCACACUGCCAAUCUUGGCUGGACUAUCGUACCACACUUACCAUAUAGUCCAGAUUUGGUGCCUUCUGGCUUCCAUCUGGCCAGUGAAAGAUGGACUGUGUGGGCGAUAUUUUCAUAGCAACAAUGCCAUCAUAGCAGUUGUGAAACAAUGGAUCAUCUCCACUGAUGCAGAUUUUUAUGAGCAGGCCAUGCAGGCUCUCAUUCAUCACUGGUGAAAAUACAUAGCUAAAGGUGAUGACUAUGUUGAAAAAUAAUGUUUUGUAGCUAAGAAUUUGCUCUAUUAAACAGUGUUAUUGUGCUCUUUGUACCUCCUGUAGUUUCCAUGGAAGUAUAUAGGAGGUAUUGAUUUUGGAGUGACCUGCAUAAUUUCAGGCCUACGUUUCAUGAUGAAUGCCUUUUAUUUCUGAGAAAAAAAAUUUAAAAAGUAAAAUUAAAAAAAAAAAACACAUUGAACAAGAAAGUAAGAUGCAUGUAUCAUUCACUGAGUCCAACAGAAAGAACUUAGUUGCCUAAUAAUGCACAUCAUGAAACGCAGAGAGUUUUUAAAAUGUGUCAUUUGUGUUAUCUUCGUCUGAAAAUAAUCAUGUUACUUUAUAAUUUAUUUCCAUUUUCUUUAUUUUUUUUUAAA